Molecule: long non-coding RNA, 415 nt
Filed under: Panicum hallii
Lineage: Eukaryota; Viridiplantae; Streptophyta; Magnoliopsida; Poales; Poaceae
Description: long non-coding RNA (PHAL_LNC000157)
Source: RNAcentral
UCGCGCGAGCUAUUGUAAUUGGACCUUGAAUGCUCAUUGGAGGAUUGUUGUGUAUAUCUAAAGAAGAUGUCCUCAUCACGUAUACAUUUCGUCAUGCACGUUGCAGGGACGAGCUUGUGGUUAUGCUGAAGCACAAACCACGUAAAAAGGCACGCCGCCCAUCCCCGCUGUUCUAGCACAAACCAUUGCUUUUGCAUCCAUCAUGCUUCGAUGUGUUUGACGUCUUGUGGUCAUCCCCAACCUUCGACUUGUGCUUCCCCCCCGAAUGAGCAAUCGAAUUCUUGUUCGUUCUUCCUUAUCCUGUUCUUUUUCAUAGGAACACCAUCAAGCUCGGCAUACACUCUGUAGAACUCAUAUGCAGCAUCCCAUGAAUCAAAGUUGACCUCAUGAACUACUGAAAAAAAUACUAGUCUAC